CGGCUCAGUAACACGUGGAUAACCUACCCUUGAGACGGGGAUAAACCCGGGAAACUGGGUAUAAUACCCGAUAGAUCUCGACUGCUGGAAUGCAUCGAGCUUGAAAGCUCUGGCGCUCAAGGAUGGGUCUGCGGCCUAUCAGGUAGUAGUGGGUGUAGCGUACCUACUAGCCUACGACGGGUACGGGUUGUGAGAGCAAGAGCCCGGAGAUGGAUUCUGAGACACGAAUCCAGGCCCUACGGGGUGCAGCAGGCGCGAAAACUUUACAAUGCUGGAAACAGCGAUAAGGGGACCUCGAGUGCCAGGUUACAAAUCUGGCUGUCGUGAUGCCUAAAAAGCAUUGCAUAGCAAGGGCCGGGCAAGACCGGUGCCAGCCGCCGCGGUAACACCGGCGGCUCGAGUGGUAACCGUUAUUAUUGGGUCUAAAGGGUCUGUAGCCGGCCGGAUAAGUCUCUUGGGAAAUCUGGCAGCUUAACUGUCAGGCUUUCAGGAGAUACUGUCUGGCUCGAGGCCGGGAGAGGUGAGAGGUACUUCAGGGGUAGGGGUGAAAUCUUGUAAUCCUUGAAGGACCACCAGUGGCGAAGGCGUCUCACCAGAACGGACCUGACGGCA
Molecule: ribosomal RNA, 612 nt
Filed under: uncultured Methanosaeta sp.
Lineage: Archaea; Methanobacteriati; Methanobacteriota; Methanomicrobia; Methanotrichales; Methanotrichaceae
Description: bacterial SSU rRNA
Rfam family: Archaeal small subunit ribosomal RNA
Source: RNAcentral